RNAcentral lists this ribosomal RNA (418 nucleotides) under uncultured bacterium. RNAcentral describes it as "bacterial SSU rRNA". It matches the Rfam family "Bacterial small subunit ribosomal RNA", at positions 954 to 1372 of the family's 1533-position model. The record is from RNAcentral.
GCAUAACGCGAAGAACCUUACCUGGUCUUGACAUGUCUGGAAUCCCGAAGAGAUUUGGGAGUGCCGCAAGGAACCAGAACACAGGUGCUGCAUGGCUGUCGUCAGCUCGUGUCGUAAGAUGUUGGGUUAAGUCCCGCAACGAGCGCAACCCUUGUCCUUAGUUGCCAUCAUUUAGUUGGGAACUCUAAGGAGACCGCCGGUGACAAACCGGAGGAAGGUGGGGAUGACGUCAAGUCAUCAUGGCCUUUAUGACCAGGGCUACACACGUGCUACAAUGGCAGGUACAGAGGGAAGCCAACCAGCAAUGGGGAGCCAAUCCCAGAAAGCCUGUCUUAGUCCGGAUUGGAGUCUGCAACUCGACUUCAUGAAGCUGGAAUCGCUAGUAAUCGCAGAUCAGCAUUGCUGCGGUGAAUACGUU